This 468-nucleotide ribosomal RNA is filed under the name uncultured bacterium. RNAcentral's name for it is "partial 16S ribosomal RNA". It matches the Rfam family "Bacterial small subunit ribosomal RNA", at positions 28 to 507 of the family's 1533-position model. The record is from RNAcentral.
GACGAACGCUGGCGGCGUGCUUAACACAUGCCAGUCGAACGGAAAGGCCCUGCUUUUGUGGGGUGCUCGAGUGGCGAACGGGUGAGUAACACGUGAGUAACCUGCCCUUGACUUUGGGAUAACUUCAGGAAACUGGGGCUAAUACCGGAUAGGAGCUCCUGUUGCAUGGUGGGGGUUGGAAAGUUUCGGCGGUUGGGGAUGGAUUCGCGGCUUAUCAGCUUGCUGGUGGGGUAGUGGCUUACCCAGGCUUUGGCGGGUAGGCGGCCUGAGAGGGUGACCGGCGACAUGAGGACUGCGGUACGGCCCAGACGCGUACGGUAGGCAGCAGUGGGGAAUAUUGCACAGUGGGCGGGAGCCUGAUGCGACAGCGCCGCGUGCGUGAUGACGUCCUUCGGGGUGUAAACCGCUUUCGGCUGUGACGAAGCGUGAGUGACGGUAAUGGGUAAAGAAGCACCGGCUAACUACGUG